GAGUGCUGGGGGAUCUGGGUCACACGUGUAACUUCAAAAGGAUCACUGCAUGAACUCCACCAAUAACUCAGAGGUGAAUAACUGCACUCGGACAUUCCAACACUCUCAAAAAGGAAUCGAUUAUAUCAAGCAUUAGUUACUGCAAUCAUAUUUAAAUCUGCAAGACUCCAAUAAGAUUUGGAGAAACAGAUGGAGGUGAUCCAGUUCCUCAAACCUGCUGCACUGUUAUUUGAUGGAUAGCUUUACCUCAACUCCGCUUACCCACUUUUCUUUCAUAUCUCUUAAUGCUGUCACCUAACAACAGACUCUCAAACGCAAUAUUGAAGCUUUCAAUUGGCCGACAUCCACAACCAAUUGAGUAUAGAAGUGUGAAAAACUGCUCCAUGAUUUCACUCUUAAAACUUUAAGUCCCUCCCAAAGGAAAUAGUUUGCGUUUUGUCUCUCCUUUAUCAUUUUGAAGACUGCCAGUAUAGUACAUUUCAGCCUUUAAAAUACAAAGAACUGCAAACAAAGUUUGUACAACCUGAUGUUAUUAUUUAAUCACUAAAGCUCUGGUAUAAUUAUUAUAAAAGAGGAAGUUAAAGGCUGGACAAUCUGCAAUACUAACCAGUUGACCAGUCCCAUCAAUGCACCUUCUGUUGGAAUAUUUAUUUACUGUCGGACGGUAUUGGAUGUGAAUCUAUUCCAUGGUGUCGAGGAUGGAAAUUUCCCAAUAAAGGGGCCCAAACUCCACUGAGGUCUGCUAUUCACAACAUGGUGACAAGCGUAUGGAAGUAGUCAACUGAGAGUCCGUCUCCAGGACUGCCAUAUGUGCAGCUUAGUAAGAAAGCCUGCAGCAUUGAACCCCAGUAAUCACCCCCAGUAAAAUAGGCAAUCCUGAGGCAGAUAGGUUAGCGGAAGAAUACCUCAAAAUAGAGGCUGCAGAACAUUUUUAAAGAGGCUCAAAAAUGAAUCAUUAAUAUACAGACGCCACCCACUCCAGUGAAAUGAUUACAUCUGAGGAUAUAGAUCUAGUGUUAGGAGAAUGCUCUGAUGGCUCAUCCACCUGUAGCUCAGAAGCCACCUGCUUCAAGUUCAUAGACUCCAAGCUCCCUAGGUCUGAUGUUGGAGAAGGUCAGUCAGCAAAGAAUAAAGUCCUUUAAUUAGAUCACUUGGCUGCCCGUCUCCAAGGAGCACAAUAUCUCUUUCUCUCGAACCUUGAUGGAAAUCUGGGUCAUGAUGCAGUGCCAUCCUGAUGGGGUUUCCCUUUUCUUUCCCUUUCUUCCCUUUUUCUAGGCCACAUGGCCUCUAAGGCUUCCUCCAACAAGGCCAGGAAGAUUCCGACUUGAGACAGUGAUCAACUGGUUCUGUCAAGUGUGCUGAAGGAUUUGGAGCAGUUACCUAUUUCACAACCCACCAAUACUAAAUAUUGAACAAGCUGGUGUUCAAACAUGUAAAUGUCGGGUUAUCAUUCUAAAGUUCUGCUACAGAUGUAUUAAUACUGAGAUCUACGACAUGAGAAGCCGAGAAUGGUUUUUCAUUAAAUCCACACUUAUUAUACGGAGAACUUUUUAUUUAAUUCAGCUUUGUAUCAUUCAAAUAGUGAUUUUGUUAGUUAGGCUUUUCAGUUUGUUUCAUAUCGAGACAGACAACAAGCUGAAUGAUAUUGUUAAUGAAAUAUCGAAGAGUUCGGGUCUGCUGGCCCCCUAGUGGCUCAAGAAAUUGUAACAGUGUAAUUUCAUAAAAGGCAAUGCUCUUUUCAAUUCAUUUACGUUCGAUUCAGUUCUAAAACUAUAAUGAGAUUUACUGAGUUCUGAAUGUUGGGUCUGAAUAGCAUGGCUGCAAUUUCAUCAAAAGGACCAGCCAUAUCACAAACCAUGAGAAUAAAAUUUGAGUGGUUAAUGGAUCUUAUCUGAAUGGAAACACCAUUUC
Long non-coding RNA from Rhincodon typus (whale shark), 1911 nucleotides. RefSeq lists it as uncharacterized. The record is from RefSeq and is a predicted model, not a curated record. Lineage: Eukaryota; Metazoa; Chordata; Chondrichthyes; Orectolobiformes; Rhincodontidae. The transcript is spliced from 3 exons.